Oreochromis aureus is the source of this 3086-nucleotide long non-coding RNA. The record is from Ensembl. NCBI's taxonomy places the organism in Eukaryota, Metazoa, Chordata, Actinopteri, Cichliformes, Cichlidae.
CAACAACAAUAAUAAUAAUUAUUAGAUUAACAGUGACAAUAAGAACAAUAAUGUGUCUGGAUGAUAAAUCAGAACAACAAUAAUAAAAAGUGGAUGGAGAAAAUUAUACAAAAAUGUAGGUUUAAGGGGGCCGAGUCUUCCUCGAGGGGUGCAUUUAUAAAUAAUGUAGUGGACAGCCCAGUUGGGUGGGGUUAAGGAGGCUACAUGAGGUAACACAACUAGACAUUGACCAUAUUAUUUCUUCGUUCUGUUGAUGUCUAUGUACAAGUGUCGGUGGUGGCGAGAGCAGUGCAGACAUAUUAACGUAGUUACCAUAACAUAAUUUAUCUACACGCAGGCGGCUUCAGCCGAAAGAUCCUAGCUAGGAAACAUAUUGCGCCAUGCUACUGGCCACUGAGCUAACUGACCGCUAGCUGGAGCUUCACAGCAUGUUUUAGCUUCAAAAUAUACACAAAAACAGAUAUUUUCCAUGUUUUCUCCUCAAUUAUGAGACUAAGAAAAUGUGAACGCGAACAACAGAAACAUCUGUGAAGAGUCAAGUCUUCAUAUUCAAGGAGAUACAGCACCCCAUAUGCUCUGCUAGCAGAGUUUAGCUAGCUGCUCUUCACACCAUGUUUCUAUUAUCCACAUAUUGUUUUCAUGUUCUGCUAAGCUUCUAAUGGAAAGCAAAUGACUACUUAUAUUGUUUACUUGGAAGCUGGGAAAAUCUUUUUUAAAACAAUGUUUGUCACAGUUUGCGUUUUUAUGGUGGGAAGUUUAGCUUAUGCCCCUCUUCCCCUCACUUAGCUUAGUUCAGUUAACAUAUCUACAGCUUAUGAGUCUCGAUGUUUUGUUUCUCUAUCCCUAUUUCACUAUUUAUUUCAUUAAUAUUUAGAAGGGGAAAUGCACUGUUAACCUAAAACAAUGCUGUCUUGCUCACUGCUAGGUGUUAGCUUAGGUGACAGAUGACUCGGCAAUUUUUCGAUUUUAGCUUUGAGUCUCAAACCUGAAUGAGCAUAAAUCUGCAGCAAAGUGACAACUAAUGUUCACCUCCUCUCUAUUAGCUAUCACCAGCUAACUGAUCUCUAGUUGCAUUAACAAGCGCUUGUAAACGGAAACUCUAGCGCAAUGCUCUUGUUAGUUUGUUUACUACUAUCUACAGUUAGCAUUGUUAUUAAUUACACUUAAAAUUUUUCUGCUCACACGAUUUUAAAAUAAAAUAAAUACAAUUUUAUUCUGAAGGAAACAACCUGAAGCCGCCACCGCUUAGAAAAAGCCAAUGUCAGUUAAUGACAGAACAUAAAGGAAGAUGGUAGAAAGAGUUGUGUUUAAGAUAGAUGAAGUAAAUCAGUAAAUUAGUGCAUUUCUGUCAUAAAUAAAUGGACGUCUUUUUUCCCUGUCCUGUUUCUGGACAGCUGUGGGAUGGGACAGAUAUGAAAACAAACUAAAAUCAUCCAAUAAAAAUAAUAGUUUAACUCUUGGUUUGUCAUUUAGAGGAAAUAAAACGGCAUCUUGAAGAUGACUGGUAAGGAAAAUGGAGCGUGACACGUAUAGCAACAACAAAAAUUAGGAACAUCAAGGCAGGCGUGCAAAAACAAAAAAGGCAAAAGGAGGACAAAUGUGUUCAUGUUGAUAGAAAAACAUUUGUUUCUUGCUUUUUGAUCCUUCUUCCAUUUCUACAGUGUGUUUUUGUGUUUUCAUGUGAAUAUUAAAGCAAUGUUAGUAUACAAAGUUAGGAUGUGAGUGUGAAGAUUUUUAUGAAUAUUGCUUGGAUACACAGUCGGGUUGAGAGCUGCUACUCAACCGCUGCAGCAACAUUUACAUUAGAGGGCGAAACAGGAGAAAGUUGAAGAUCCGAGCUGAGGAGCAGCAUACUGUCUGAAUCAUCACAUAAAUGUUGAGUUUGGGAUACUAGUUCCCCAACUAUCUUCAUCUGAAGGCCUUCAUUAUACACAUUUCAACAACCAACGGAAAAAUCGAUAUCGCCAAGAUUAAGAAAGGGGUUUUUAAAACACCUGAAAUUAACCUGCAACCCUAUCAUUAAAUCCAAAUGGACCUUUGUGCCAGUGGUUCCCAACAUUUCUAGCUCAUGCUGAUUUUAAAAUAUAAGGGCUAGUAUGAAGUAAACUUCAUCUUGUCUAAGAGUUAAUGGCCAUGCAGACCUAUUGGACAAAUGUAAUCACAUGCGUAAACAUUCAGGGUAGUCUUAAUGUAUGCCGUCCACUGUCCAGUUUGUCUUUGUCCAUGUGUUUGUAUCAGAGUCUUUAAAAUAUUCUCAUUAUCAAUGAAGUGUCAAGUGGUAAAGGGUUGGGAAAUGUGGAAUUUUAUACUGAAGAUUAACUUUUUUGAAUGUUCUUUCAUAAGUGUAGGUAAUGAUAUUUUCCUUUUAGCUCUAUGACAGUUCAUUUUUUCCAUGCAUGAUAGUAAGACUCUUUAGGGCUUGGCCAUGACUUUCUCAUAUCGUUGGAUCUGGUCUACAUUGAAACUUGGCCUCAGUUUUGAUCCAAAGAUUCUCUACAUUUAGACUCAGUCUUGAAAUAUAACCCCAUGUGGUAAAAAUAUUGCCCUAAAUUUAGCAUUAGUAGACCUUAAAUUUAAACUCUAAAUUGUAGACUAAAAUCUGACUAAAUUUAUACUCGGCUUCAGCUUUACCCUGUUUGGUCUUUUUCUGGAACAAAAUUCAACCUGCUUUAGACUUAAGCUAGAGUUUACCAGAUUUCAUCUUUCCCAGUCUUGGUAAACUUUUUGAGCCCAUUAGAGAAAUGUAAAGAUUUGGUUAAUACUGUGAACCCAAUUUGAUUAUGACUAGAAUACUUAUAAACUAUAGUCUUGUGUCCAGACUCUAUGUUGAUCACAUGUUGCCCAAUUUAAUCAUAUUUGGUAACAGUCUAAGCUCAAAGGUCAACGAUCAAGCCUUUAAACUUGAUCUUGAGUUUAAUUUAUCCACAUUUUGACUGCAUUAUGACUCAAACCUUGGUGGUAGUGCUGACCACCACAUUUACACUUGGUCUUGAGUCAAAUGUAUUCAAGUUUAGUGAGUAUUAUGUACCAAAACUUCACCAGAUGUAGACUUUUUCUAAGCUCAUUAAAUAAUCAGAUUUGAGCCU